CUACGGGAGGCAGCAGUGGGGAAUAUUGGACAAUGGGGGAAACCCUGAUCCAGCAAUGCCGCGUGUGUGAAGAAGGCCUGCGGGUUGUAAAGCACUUUCAGUUGGGAGGACUGCUUCUAGCACUAAUAUUGUUGGAAGUUGACGUUACCUUCAGAAGAAGCACCGGCUAACUCCGUGCCAGCAGCCGCGGUAAUACGGAGGGUGCAUGCGUUAAUCGGAAUUACUGGGCGUAAAGCGCGCGUAGGCGGCUAGAUCAGUCGGGUGUGAAAGCCCCGGGCUUAACCUGGGAACUGCAUCCGAUACUGUCUAGCUUGAGUACAGGAGAGGAGAGUGGAAUUCCACAUGUAGCGGUGAAAUGCGUAGAUAUGUGGAGGAACACCAAUGGCGAAGGCAGCUCUCUGGCCUGAUACUGACGCUGAGGUGCGAAAGCGUGGGGAGCAAACAGGAUUAGAUACCCCGGUAGUC
Molecule: ribosomal RNA, 465 nt
Filed under: uncultured bacterium
Lineage: Bacteria
Description: partial 16S ribosomal RNA
Rfam family: Bacterial small subunit ribosomal RNA
Source: RNAcentral